ACAGCUUUAUGGUCCCUUAACAGGCACUUGCUCACUCUUUUUUUUUAAUUCAGAAAAGACACUGCAAUGCUUCCUAGCUUGUAUGUCGCUGCCACUUGGAAGGAUCUGCUUCACUGAGCUAUUUUAUCUGCAUUUAUCAUUGUUUCAAAGUCUUUUUUCUCUUUGCUUACUGUUUCUAUUAGCAUAUUUUUACAGAUGAAAACCAUCAAACAAUUACUAUGUGAAGUUCAGGGUAUGAUUUCUGUGCUUUAGAAAUUAUCUCCUUUCUUAGUGAAUUGCAACAUGCUGUUUGUCCUUGGUUUUGAAGCAUUAGCCACUGGUAGUUUGGCAGCCCCUGUCCUACAUUUCUCACUGGGUUGUAGUGCAAUGGCCCUGAUACAAUUUUCAAUCUUCCCAACCGCUACAAACUCAAACUUUCUCUCUUGAGAAUGGAAAUAACUAAUCCACGUUAUGAGUAAAUACAAUUUUCAUUACACAAAUAGAGGGUUGAUCCUCCCCUUCUGACUCCUCUGUAUAGAAGCCUGGAAAGGACUGUAACUGCCAUGCUUCUGUAACAUUCCCAUAUGAGAUUUUGCAAAGCUUUUGAACCAGUAAUUAAAAAUAUUGUAGCAUAUAUAACAAAAUCUUUACACUCUAAUCCUCCUCUUAACAGAAUCCUGCGAUAGUCUUAUCUGGCUCAGGUGAACAAAUGUGUCUAUUACCACAAUUUCUUCUCUUACAACAUGGAGGAGGGUUUAAAAUUUCGUGAGCUGCUCAGAUUUUCAUUGUUCUGUCUUACUGCAAGCUGUAACCUGAUCAACAAUUCUUUAUAAAGCAGCAGAGGGUGUUUUUGUUUUACGUGAUCUUGUGGGGGUUUGCUUGUUGCUUUUUCUUUUACAUAUAUAAAUCCACACUGCUCAGGGCUAAACUCUUUUAUUCUGUUUUCAUAUGGUUGAAGUACACCCAGACUGACCGUGCAGAGUGAUAUUUCCACCUUGUAAGGCAUCCACUACUCAUAUUUUCGCAGAAGUUGUCUGUGGAGCUUGCUCUCUCAGGGAUUGCUUGGUGUAGUAUGGGAACUCAAACAGCCUUUAUAUGACUGGCCUUCAUUUUGGUUGUGUACUCUUAAGAGCGUGCAGCAAUGUCCGAGGCUGCUCCAAAUAAUGCCUCCUGUGUUGUUAUGUUGGUGCACGACCUCAGAGGCAGAUAUUGGAGGGAUGGCAGUAGAGGUUGAAUCUUCCUACCUGUAUUCCGUUACAUGUUGUUGCUGUGUGACAGAUGGCAGCAGAGGGGCAAAAUGAUAUCUGACAUGGAAGUGUGAAUGAAACAGAAGUGCGGGAUUGAAUUCCUCUAUGCGAAAAAAAUGGCACCCAUUGAUGUUCACUGACACUUGCUGGAUGUUUCUGGAGACCAAGCAGUGGAUGUUGGCACAGUGAGGCAGCAGGUGAUGUGUUUCAGAAGUGGUGAUAGUAACAGUGGGUCACCUCCACUGGUGCAGAUUUUUAUGAGAGCAGCAUGCAGGCUCUUGUUCAUCACUGGUGAAAAUGCAUAGCUAGUGGUGGUGACUGUGUUGAGGAAUACUGUUCUGUAGCUGAGAAUUUGCUCUAUCAAAUAGUGUUAUUGUGCUCUUUGUUAUAAUUUCCACUGAAAUAAAUAGAAGGCGUUGCUUUCAGAGCAACCUAUGUACAUCUAGUUAGAAUAAACUUUAGCCCUUUUCUGUUUCAGGAAAGGAGAUACUCAGGAAACUGGUGAGGCGAGAAGGGUAUUUCUUAUCUUUUUCUCUGUCUUGCAGUAGUUUCACUGAUCAAUGAGAUCAAUAGAAAACUCUCAAAAGUAGUUCAAAGUUAGCAAAAACCAAGAGAUUUUUUUUAAUUUCCAAGUAUAUAGAUUUCCAAUUAUAUAAACAAAAUUUAUUUUUAAGCAUGAUAACCACUUGAAUAAUAUUUUUGAAAAUCAUCAUGAAAAAACAAAACGUGCUUCUUAGACUGGGAUAGAUGACGCAAUUUUGAGGAAAGUUAUCCAUUUAAAG
Pavo cristatus (Indian peafowl) is the source of this 2008-nucleotide long non-coding RNA. The record is from Ensembl. Lineage: Eukaryota; Metazoa; Chordata; Aves; Galliformes; Phasianidae.